GACGAACGCUGGCGGCGUGCUUAACACAUGCAAGUCGAACGGAAAGGCCCUGCUUUUGUGGGGUGCUCGAGUGGCGAACGGGUGAGUAACACGUGAGUAACCUGCCCUUGACUUUGGGAUAACUUCAGGAAACUGGGGCUAAUACCGGAUAGGAGCUCCUGCUGCAUGGUGGGGGUUGGAAAGUUUCGGCGGUUGGGGAUGGACUCGCGGCUUAUCAGCUUGUUGGUGGGGUAGUGGCUUACCAAGGCUUUGACGGGUAGCCGGCCUGAGAGGGUGACCGGCGGGCGGGGGGAAGAGGUAAGGGCGGGCAGCGGAAGGGAGGAAGUAGGCGGGGUGUGGGCAGACUGGGCGGGCGUCGGGGGCAGAAUCGUAGGGGGAGGAAGGAGGGGUAACGGGAUGUAGGAGGCUAGCGCCUGAGAACGAGGGGCAGGGAGGGUAAGGGGGAAAGAAGGACCGGCAAACUACGUG
This 468-nucleotide ribosomal RNA is filed under the name uncultured bacterium. RNAcentral's name for it is "partial 16S ribosomal RNA". The stretch from base 20 to 329 matches the Rfam family "Bacterial small subunit ribosomal RNA", at positions 47 to 358 of the family's 1533-position model. The record is from RNAcentral.